Molecule: non-coding RNA, 1073 nt
Organism: Manis javanica (Malayan pangolin)
Lineage: Eukaryota; Metazoa; Chordata; Mammalia; Pholidota; Manidae
Source: RefSeq, a predicted model, not a curated record
CAGGCCUUCCACCCCUUUCCCUGAUCUGCUGCAGCACCGGUACCAGCAGCUCUGGGUGCAGGAACAAAAGGCCACCCAGAAAGCCAUUAAACUGGAGAAAAAGCACAAGGUGAUGCUCGGAAAGCUUUAUGAGACUCGGAGCAGUCAGCUGAGGAGGUACAAGCCCCCCGUGAAGCUGGAUGCCCUCUGGCACAUGCCUCAUUUCCAGAAGGUGGGCCCCCAUCUCGAUACCUUUCCCACUGAGGCUGACCGCCAGAGAGCAUUCAAAGCCCACCAGGAGGAGUCUGCUGCGUGCCAGGGGACCCUGCGGAUGGGCAACUACACCCACCCCUAAAGCCUUCUUGACACAGAAAAUUCCUGAAGGACUCACCUUUCUCGCUCCAACUCACAUGACACUACCCCAUUUUUAUGCAGGUUCUUUUCAGUUGGGACCUCAGAGUCAGGCCUUAGAUUCAUUAUUUUCGGUAAGAGUCCCUCUCUUUAGGUUGGCCAACACUAGCUUGCCUUAGUCCUGGCAGCCUUCUACCUAGGAACACCCCCUUUUCUGGAGGCCACCUACCCUUUCUUCUCAAGCCCCCACCUGAUAAGACAAACCCAAAUUACAGGGCAGAUAUUAGACUCCAGGCUGAGGGUCAUUUCCAAGGCUCUGCCCAUUAAGUUAAGAACAGCCCCUGUGUUGACCACAGAAAGCAUGACAGUAACAUGAAAGUCCUCACUUUCAUAUUCCAGACCUGAGUUCUAAUUGCUCUUUGUGGGAUUCCUGAGGUCUCACCUCGACAGUGUGAUCUCUUUGAAACCCCUGACAACAGGAUGAGCCGAUGCUUAGGCCUGAGGGCCUCCUCCCACCCCCCCAAUGCUGGGGCCCUAUUGCUCAAGCAGACCGAGAUGGGCUUCUCCACCAAGACCAACUUUUGAAGAGCCUUCUGGGUCAGGGGGCCGGCUGGAAAUGCGUAGGCCAAGGGAUGCCUCAGCCAAACUCCAGGCACUUCUUACCUCAGUCUUUCUUCAUGUUCUUUGGCUUCUUCCCACAAAUUAUAGACAGAUUCAUUUUCAAUUAAAAAUGCUAUUUGUCA